GUAGGGAAUCUUCCACAAUGGACGAAAGUCUGAUGGAGCAACGCCGCGUGAACGAUGAAGGCCCUCGGGUCGUAAAGUUCUGUUGUAAGGGAAGAACAAGUGCCGCAGGCAAUGGCGGCACCUUGACGGUACCUUGCGAGAAAGCCACGGCUAACUACGUGCCAGCAGCCGCGGUAAUACGUAGGUGGCAAGCGUUGUCCGGAAUUAUUGGGCGUAAAGCGCGCGCAGGCGGCCUCUUAAGUCUGAUGUGAAAGCCCCCGGCUCAACCGGGGAGGGCCAUUGGAAACUGGGAGGCUUGAGUAUAGGAGAGAAGAGUGGAAUUCCACGUGUAGCGGUGAAAUGCGUAGAGAUGUGGAGGAACACCAGUGGCGAAGGCGACUCUUUGGCCUAUAACUGACGCUGAGGCGCGAAAGCGUGGGGAGCAA
RNAcentral lists this ribosomal RNA (425 nucleotides) under uncultured Exiguobacterium sp. RNAcentral's name for it is "bacterial SSU rRNA". It matches the Rfam family "Bacterial small subunit ribosomal RNA", at positions 354 to 771 of the family's 1533-position model. The record is from RNAcentral. Lineage: Bacteria; Bacillati; Bacillota; Bacilli; Caryophanales.